AGAGGGCUCUGCAGUAAUUACCUCAACAGGGACAAGAUUGGAAAUACAAAGAGGAAACUAAACAUUGUAAAAUAUAGAGGCUGUGCUUUUGAAUCAAGAAUAGGCAAUUAGCCUGUUGCGUUAUGUAAUAUCUCAUUCAUUAGUCAUUGAAUUACCUCUGGCUGCAUGUACUGUUUCCCUGAAGUUAAUUUUUAUUCCAUUAUGAAGGAAUAAAUCAAAUCCAGUGAAAGGAAAUCCGACCUCUUUGCUGUCUACAGGAGGAAGGCCUUGAACCAAGUCUUUUUGUGGUUUAAUAUUUUCAGUUUCAACUUAAUAAAGAGGAGCCUCAGGGAUGAGAAAAGAGGUCAGGUUUUGUCUUUUCCACUUGAAGUACAUAAAUAGAAUAGAAAGAAGUAAUGAUAUGUAGCCAAUUGUAAAGAACAUGAAAUCAACCCAGAAAAUAUGAAAUGUUGAUGGGGAUACACAAGCACCCAGCAUUCAUGGUACCACUGAGAAUAGAGUAAUUAAUUCACAAAGUUCUUGUGGAUGCCUGCGAACCUUCUAGCAGAGCCUCUGCUAGGCGGGAGGCUUGUACAAAGGUAAACAAUAUGCUAUUUUGUUCUCAGAGUUCACAGUCUGCUGGGAAGGCUGACGUGAGAAAACAAUUCAAUACAAAGCGCUAAGUGCUGUAGCAAAAGUUUGUUCGUUGAGCUGAGAGAACAAUGCGCAGGGUGAUCCACAAAGUGUGAGAGGCGAGAUGAAAUUCUUGCUGUGUUUGGAGGAUGAGGAGAAUUUUUCCACACAAAGAAGAUAAACGAAGCAUGUUCUGGAGAAAGGAGACAGCGUAUGUAAAGCCAGGUGAGUGGGACGUGAUUGCUCUUAUCUUAUCUACCUGAAGAAACUUAAUCUCAGAGGUGAUGCGACUGGACGAAGGUCCCACAGCAAACAGACAUUGAAACAGGCCUGCUGACCUGGGCGCACCAAGAGCACACACCCUUAGUUGUCUUGCACGGGACUCAUACUAAUUGUACUUUGUUGAAUGCACUUUAGCAACAAAACCUCCAUCAAUUGUUUAAAAAAAGUUUU
This 1065-nucleotide long non-coding RNA is filed under the name Callithrix jacchus (white-tufted-ear marmoset). RNAcentral's name for it is "lncRNA (ENSCJAG00000072290.1)". The record is from RNAcentral. Lineage: Eukaryota; Metazoa; Chordata; Mammalia; Primates; Cebidae.